UCAUCUUCGGGGGUAGAGCACUGUUUCGGCUAGGGGGUCAUCCCGACUUACCAACCCGAUGCAAACUACGAAUACCGAAGAAUGUUAUCACGGGAGACACACGGCGGGUGCUAACGUCCGUCGUGAAGAGGGAAACAACCCAGACCGCCAGCUAAGGUCCCAAAGUCACAGUUAAGUGGGAAACGAUGUGGGAAGGCACAGACAGCCAGGAUGUUGGCUUAGAAGCAGCCAUCAUUUAAAGAAAGCGUAAUAGCUCACUGGUCGAGUCGGCCUGCGCGGAAGAUGUAACGGGGCUAAACUGUGCACCGAAGCUGCGGCAGCGACACUAUGUGUUGUUGGGUAGGGGAGCGUUCUGUAAGCCUGCGAAGGUGGCCUGUGAGGGUUGCUGGAGGUAUCAGAAGUGCGAAUGCUGACAUAAGUAACGAUAAUGCGGGUGAAAAGCCCGCACGCCGGAAGACCAAGGGUUCCUGUCCAACGUUAAUCGGGGCAGGGUGAGUCGACCCCUAAGGCGAGGCCGAAAGGCGUAGUCGAUGGGAAACAGGUUAAUAUUCCUGUACUUGGUGUUACUGCGAAGGGGGGACGGAGAAGGCUAUGUUAGCCGGGCGACGGUUGUCCCGGUUUAAGCAUGUAGGCGGAGGUUCCAGGUAAAUCCGGUACCUUAUUAACGCUGAGGUGUGAUGACGAGGCACUACGGUGCUGAAGUAACAAAUGCCCUGCUUCCAGGAAAAGCCUCUAAGCAUCAGGUAACAUUAAAUC
Molecule: ribosomal RNA, 756 nt
Filed under: Klebsiella sp. 141203
Lineage: Bacteria; Pseudomonadati; Pseudomonadota; Gammaproteobacteria; Enterobacterales; Enterobacteriaceae
Description: partial 23S ribosomal RNA
Rfam family: Bacterial large subunit ribosomal RNA
Source: RNAcentral